RNAcentral lists this small nuclear RNA (141 nucleotides) under Saimiri boliviensis boliviensis (Bolivian squirrel monkey). Its description in RNAcentral is "U4 spliceosomal RNA (ENSSBOG00000008154.1)". It matches the Rfam family "U4 spliceosomal RNA". From Rfam's summary of the family: U4 small nuclear RNA (U4 snRNA) is a component of the major U2-dependent spliceosome. The structure of U4 snRNA from yeast and human has been reported. Lineage: Eukaryota; Metazoa; Chordata; Mammalia; Primates; Cebidae. The record is from Rfam by way of RNAcentral.
AGCUUUGCGUAGUGGUAAUAUUGUAGCCAUUGAGGUUUAUCCAAGGCGCGAUUAUUGCUAAUUGAAAACUUUUCCCAAUACCCCGCUGUGACAACUUGCAAUACAGUCGGCACUGGCAAUUUUUGAAAGUCUCUUCGGAGA